RNAcentral lists this ribosomal RNA (253 nucleotides) under uncultured bacterium. RNAcentral's name for it is "partial 16S ribosomal RNA". It matches the Rfam family "Archaeal small subunit ribosomal RNA", at positions 474 to 727 of the family's 1478-position model. The record is from RNAcentral.
UACCCGCAGCUCAAGUGGUGGUCAUUAUUAUUGGGCCUAAAGCGUCCGUAGCUGGCUUGUUAGAUGCCUGGGUAAAUCGAUGCGCUUAACGUAUCGAAUUCCGGGUAGACCGGCAAGCUCGAGGCCGGGAGAGGCGUGAGCUACUCAAGGGGUAGGGGUAAAAUCCUGUAAUCCUUUGGGGAGGACCAGUGGCGAAGGCGUCACGCUAGAACGGCUCUGACAGUGAGGGACGAAGCCCUGGGGCGCAAACCGG